RNAcentral lists this ribosomal RNA (475 nucleotides) under uncultured Desulfobulbus sp. RNAcentral describes it as "bacterial SSU rRNA". It matches the Rfam family "Bacterial small subunit ribosomal RNA", at positions 916 to 1381 of the family's 1533-position model. The record is from RNAcentral. Lineage: Bacteria; Pseudomonadati; Thermodesulfobacteriota; Desulfobulbia; Desulfobulbales; Desulfobulbaceae.
GACGGGGCCCGCACAAGCGGUGGAGUAUGUGGUUUAAUUCGAUGCAACGCGAAGAACCUUACCUGGUCUUGACAUCCCGGAGACCCUUAGGAAACUAGGGGGUGCUUCCAUCUGGAAGAAUCUGGAGACAGGUGCUGCAUGGCUGUCGUCAGCUCGUGUCGUGAGAUGUUGGGUUAAGUCCCGCAACGAGCGCAACCCUUGCCUUUAGUUGCCAGCAGUUCGGCUGGGCACUCUAAAGGGACUGCCGGUGUUAAACCGGAGGAAGGUGGGGAUGACGUCAAGUCCUCAUGGCCUUUAUGACCAGGGCUACACACGUACUACAAUGGCCGAUACAAAGGGCAGCGACACUGCGAGGUGAAGCCAAUCCCGUAAAAUCGGUCUCAGUCCGGAUUGGAGUCUGCAACUCGACUCCAUGAAGUUGGAAUCGCUAGUAAUCGUGGAUCAGCAUGCCACGGUGAAUACGUCCCCGGGCCUU